UCUACGAUUAUAUCCAUUAACGAUAGAGGGAAACACCUUCCUCUCUAUAAAUAUCAAACUCUUGUUUGAAAGUGAGCAUAUAAUUUCAAAGCUUGUCGACUAUCUGUUCUAAGUGACGAUGAGUUCCGUUCCUGGAGGUCGAGUGCCGGUUGAUCCAAAUGACCCACACGUGCGAGAUAUUGGAGAAUGGGCAGUGAAGGAACACAACAAAAGUGGGGAUUCACUAAAGUUUCUUGAAGUGGUAAGUGGGUCGAAGCAAAUAGUGUCUGGAGUGUUGUACACGCUUGUGAUGUUGGUUGAUGUUGGUGCAAAUUAUCCUCGAAAAUAUGAGGCUAAGGUGUGGGAGCAACCAUGGGUGGUGCCUCCUCGGAAGCUCGAGUCUUUCCACGUUCUUCUCCAGGAGUGAGAUGUUUAUGUUACAAUCUCGGUCGUGUAUCAAAAUCCAUAUCUAUAAUGGAACAAUAAAAUAAAACUUCUUAUCAAUCCUUA
Cucurbita pepo subsp. pepo (vegetable marrow) is the source of this 489-nucleotide non-coding RNA. NCBI's taxonomy places the organism in Eukaryota, Viridiplantae, Streptophyta, Magnoliopsida, Cucurbitales, Cucurbitaceae. The record is from RefSeq and is a predicted model, not a curated record.